This 329-nucleotide unclassified non-coding RNA is filed under the name soil metagenome. Its description in RNAcentral is "partial contains 5.8S ribosomal RNA, internal transcribed spacer 2, and large subunit ribosomal RNA". The stretch from base 1 to 120 matches the Rfam family "5.8S ribosomal RNA", at positions 35 to 154 of the family's 154-position model. The record is from RNAcentral.
GAUGAAGAACGCAGUGAAAUGCGAUACGUAAUGUGAAUUGCAGAUUUCAGUGAAUCAUCGAAUCUUUGAACGCACAUUGCGCCCGCCAGUAUUCUGGCGGGCAUGCCUGUUCGAGCGUCAUUUCAACCAUCAAGCCUUCGCUUGUGUUGGGGCCCCGCGGCUGCCGCGGUCCCCUAAAUCCAGUGGCGGGCUCGUCGUCGUACCGAGCGCAGUAGACAUCCUCGCUCCGGGAACCCGACAGGUGCCGGCCGUGAAACCCCCCACAUCAAGGUUGACCUCGGAUCAGGUAGGAAUACCCGCUAAACUUAAGCAUAUCAAUAAGCGGAGGA